UUAAUAUUAGUUAUGAAAUAUAUUUCAAGAAAUUUUAUAUCUAGUUUUUUAAGAGUAAAAGUUUAAUUAAUAAUUUUUAUAAAGAUUAAUAUGGUUUAGCUUAUUAAUUUUAUAUACUGAGAGGAUUUUUUAACCUUAGUAAAUUUGAUAGUGUUUAUUUUAUAAAUUUAUAAUGGAGGGUAAUAUGAAUAAAAAUUUUUAUUUGUUAUUUUUAUAUUAAAAAAUUUAUUUAAAUUUUAGAGAUUUAUUUAUAAUGAAAAAAUUAGUAAAAAAUUAUUUAUAUUAAAAAGUAAUUAAUAAUUUAUAAAUGUUAUAGUUAUUAUAAAAAAUGAAUUCGGCAAAAAGUAUUAUUUGACUGUUUAGCAAAAACAUUGUUUCAUGAAGAAUAUAUGAAAUAAUGUCUGUCCACUGAUAUAUUUGAAGGACUGCAGUAUAUUGACUGUAUAAAAGUAGCAUAAUCAUUAGCUUUUUAAUUUGGGGUUGGUAUGAAGGCGAAACGGAUAAGUUCUUUAUUUUUUAUAAAUGUUUUAAGUUUAUUUUUAAGUGAAAAAUCUUAAUUAGAUGAGAGGGACAACAAGACCCUAAUAAGUUUUAUUUUUAUUUUAUUUAUGUUAUAGGAAAAUAGAAUUAGAUAAUAUUAAAUUAGAAAUUUGGUUGGGGCGAUUAGUUAUAAAAUCAUAAUUUAUUUAUAAUUUUU
Molecule: ribosomal RNA, 697 nt
Filed under: Pseudopolydesmus canadensis
Lineage: Eukaryota; Metazoa; Arthropoda; Diplopoda; Polydesmida; Polydesmidae
Description: partial large subunit ribosomal RNA
Source: RNAcentral